CUGCUCCCCUUCAGCAGCACAUAUACUAAAAAUGUAAUGAUACAGAGAAAAUUAGCAUAGGCCUUGUACAAACACAAUCUGUAAAUUCAUGAGGUUCCAUAUUUUCAU
Small nuclear RNA from Vulpes vulpes (red fox), 108 nucleotides. The record is from Ensembl. NCBI's taxonomy places the organism in Eukaryota, Metazoa, Chordata, Mammalia, Carnivora, Canidae.